UGCCAGCCGCCGCGGUAAUACGGAGGGUGCAAGCGUUGUUCGGAAUUACUGGGCGUAAAGCGCGUGUAGGCGGCUUCGUUAGUCGGGUGUGAAAUCCCGGGGCCCAACCCCGGAACUGCACCCGAUACUGCGGAGCUAGAGUCCCGGAGAGGAUGGCGGAAUUUCCGGUGUAGAGGUGAAAUUCGUAGAUAUCGGAAGGAACACCAGUGGCGAAGGCGGCCAUCUGGACGGUACUGACGCUGAGGUACGAAAGCGUGGGGAGCGAACAGGAUUAGAUAC
Molecule: ribosomal RNA, 279 nt
Filed under: uncultured bacterium
Lineage: Bacteria
Description: partial 16S ribosomal RNA
Rfam family: Bacterial small subunit ribosomal RNA
Source: RNAcentral